This is a long non-coding RNA of Spinacia oleracea (spinach), 2402 nucleotides long. RefSeq lists it as uncharacterized. NCBI's taxonomy places the organism in Eukaryota, Viridiplantae, Streptophyta, Magnoliopsida, Caryophyllales, Amaranthaceae. The transcript has 12 exons. The record is from RefSeq and is a predicted model, not a curated record.
CUGCAAGCCUGCAACCAAUCCCCAAUAUACUCCCAAGAGAAAAAUAAGCUUCCAGUUCAAAGAGCGAGAUGGAGACCUGCAAAAGCAAAGCGUCGUCCGCCUGCCUUUCCCACCGCCCUUUCUCUGAUCUCCUCCAUUUACUGCCGUCUUCAGCACCGCCUUUCCCACCACCUUUUCGCUGAUCUCCUCCAUUUGUUGUCGUCUUUCCCACCGCCUUUCCCACCCCCUACAAACCUCCCGUAGACGACGUUUGUUCCGCCGCUUCCGUCAAUUAUGAGUUGAGUUGUGUUGGUACUGUUUGCUUUACAUGCUGCAGUCUAGUUCGAUUAGAAGAAGGGGCAUACAUCAAAUUAGCAAUAGCAGAGCUCCUACCAUUACGGUUUCCAUGAGGAUGGUUUCAAGGCUUUAUUAAUGCCAUAUGACCACAAAAAUACUACCCCAGAUGGAGCUUCUUCAGCUAAAAUGAAAGCAUUGGUGAAUGAUUUGAAUUAUCGGCACUUCCAAGGUCACUGCAUGACUGGUUCUUGGGGGAGGCUCCGUUGGGUUAUUCAUCUAACUAAUAAAGCUAAGAAUAAUAACAUUGGUUAUUAUCUGCAGUUCUUAUAAAGGUAUUGCUGUAUUUAAUUUACAACUCACUUCAAAAAUCCUUUUUUUUAUAGGUAUCUAGCACACGGUACUGCAACAGACUACAUUUAUGAGAUUGCAAAAGUUCCCAUGGCUUUCACUUUUGAGAUUUAUGGAGAUGAAUCAGCUCCAGUAAAAGACUACUUCAGAAUGUUUAAUCCAACAGAUCAAACCACUUUUAAGAGAGUUCUUAUUUCUUAAUGACUGGUUCGCUGCAUUCUUCACACUAUUCAAGUUUGGGCCACAAUUGCUGGGUAUGGAAAACUCGAAUGAAUCAGUAAAGUUGAUAUCGAUGGAUGAUUAUUUAGAUGGAUACCUGACGAGUAGACGGAGUCGAUAUGGAAAGAAAUUGGAGAUAUGUAAUCAGUACUGCAUUCAAAAGGCCAAACAGAAGUGCACAUUUUGGUUCCGCUUGAGCUUUCUCUGACGGUCAUGGCUAGGAAAUUUAACCAAGAGAAGAUAAUUUAUCGCAAAUUUCCUCCCUUUACAGAAAGGACUGCUCUAAUUACCUAUUCACCGUUCACGUUCUGUUCCAGUUCUUAUCAAAGAUGGUAGUGUAAGGCAGGUGGAUUUUUUGGAGGGAUAUUUCGUAUAAUACCAACAACUCCACGUGUUAAAGAUGGACCCUUGAUAGAGUCAGGUGCAAGUGCAACUGAUGCUGAGGAAGUUGAUGAUAACGGUGAAGACAUUCCUGAAGAAGAAGUUGUUUGCAGAAUUUUCUUUGUGGAGCUGAUGGAAGGCUCAGAGACGCUCAAGUUGGAAUGUAGCUGCAAAGGUGAACUUGCUUUGGCUCACCAAGAAUGUGCUGUUAAAUGGUUUAGCAUCAAAGGAAACAAGAUAUGUGAUGUAUGCCAGCAAGAGGUUAAAAGCCUACCUGUUACACUUUUGCGAAUUCAUAAUGCUCAGGCUCAACAAGAAAGUAAUGGACAGCAGGCUGACUUGGCUGGUUUCAGGCAAGGUUUGGCAAGAUGUCCCUGUACUUGUUAUUGUAAGCAUGCUUGCUUACUUUUGUUUCCUUGAACAGCUUUUGAAAGGAAUGCUCCAAUUAAUUACUUGUUCACCGUUCACAUUUUGUUCCAGUUCUUAUCAAAGAUGGUAGUGCAGGGAAUGGUUGAUACUCUUCACAAGCAGGUCCGCAGGGAGUAAGAGAGAGAAAAAGCGGGAAAAAGAAAACCGAAGGGAGUAAGGCAUGGUUGAACUCUUCGCACGAGCGGUUUUGCUUAUUCUAGUCCAGAAUCCUGACUAUUAAGACAUCAGGCUAUGUAAAUUCUAGUGCCGCUGCAUUGCUGAUGUUUAUUUGGCUAAUAAACUACUCAUGGUUGCCUUUGCUUUUAAGGGAUGCGUGCACUAGAAGAAGCUAUUGUGUAGUUGAGGCCAUAGAAGAAGAUUAAGUAGAGCGACAAGUUGUUUUGAAGCUGAUAUUCAGGCAACGGUUUCCAUGAAGUUGAUGUUCGAAAGAAGGUGUUUACUAUAGCAACACUAGUCUGGUUUUAAGCUCAUAGUUUAUUGGGUGAGCAGUAGGUUAGUUGUACUAGGUUAGAAGUUAAAGGGUAUGGAAUAUAUUGUAGGUAUAAAGGGUAUGGAAUAUAUGUUGCAGGUAUAAAAAGGGUAUGGGAAUAGAAUGUUGUAAUACGUUAUUGUUGGUUAGUUUAGUCUUUGUUUUAGUGCAAUAACUAUUUUUUUAAGGGAACUUAAUUAGUAUCAUUCCGAAGGUUGCAACUUGUACAAACGUUAUUUUUUUAUUUACAUAUUUAAUGCUUAUUUAUCUAAUAAAAUAA